RNAcentral lists this long non-coding RNA (210 nucleotides) under Linum usitatissimum (flax). RNAcentral's name for it is "long non-coding RNA (LUSI_LNC000122)". Lineage: Eukaryota; Viridiplantae; Streptophyta; Magnoliopsida; Malpighiales; Linaceae. The record is from RNAcentral.
CCAUCAGUCAGAAAUAUGCUGGAAGCUGGUCCAAGGAAGUUUCUUGAGUGUUUUCUGCCUACUACAUGAAGUUCGAAACUACUUAGAGAGAACACCGUCUCACAACAUCCACACUUGAUGCCUUCCCGAGUUACUUUGCCCUUACUUGCCUGGCAAUAUACUUUCGCCCUUGACGAGAUGGCGCCAUUAUCUAUUAACCAAGACAGCAUG